Molecule: long non-coding RNA, 3973 nt
Filed under: Equus asinus (donkey)
Lineage: Eukaryota; Metazoa; Chordata; Mammalia; Perissodactyla; Equidae
Description: lncRNA (ENSEASG00005031581.1)
Source: RNAcentral
CUUCCUCUUCCGCGUGGGGUCAAAUCCUGGCUCUAUCAGCUGUAAACAAGUUCUUUAACUUCUUUGAGCUCCACCAAAUUUCUUCUCUGUAAAGUAGGAAUGGUAAUAGCUACCUUGCUGAGUGGCUGUAAGGAUUGAAUGACAUCACUCCUGGCCUUGAACAAGCACUCACCAGAACAGGUCACUGGUUAUUGGCGUUGGUAUUGUUGAUAACAUUUGGCUCUAUGCUCAUUUCCAGCCGGCUGUCAACAUUCUGCUUUAUAACAGAUUCUUGUGUAGACCCAUCAGGAAACAGAAAUCCUUGUCUACCUAUGAACAGUUGUGCUGUUGCUUUCUGAGAUUUCUUAAAUGCCAUCCACCUUUAAGAGGUGGUGUUGAAGGAGCGGAAGAUGCCUGGUUCCUUUCGUCUGUUGUGUGUCUGGGAGGCCUUGUUGACGUGGGAGUGCAAAGACUGACUUCCUUGGCAGGUGAUCUGGACCCUGUGAGGCUCAGUGGAAACCAGGCGUCGUGUGAUUGACACAGUGAAUAUUGAGACAGCCGAGUUUCUCAAACGCCGACACUCUCCUGAAUUUCCUCUCCACAAAUAUGUUUACUUUGCAAAGCCAAAGGGAUUUGCAUGAAACUUUUUUUUCUGCUUAUGGAAACAACAGAACAAAAUUCCUUACAUUCUCUCUGUUUUCUACUUUGACCUUCAGGAUCUUACCUUUCAGUCUUUUGUUCCACAUUCACACAAAUGCACACCUUUUAAAUAUGGCCAAUCGCUGUUAGAACUGGAAGAGGUCUUAUAAAAGGCAUCUUGAACAACGUCCCACCAGGGAAGAGAUUUUUUUUAAUCAUGUGUCAUAGAAGCCAACAUUUUAAAGCGUUGUAAAUGGAAAUAUAUUGUAAAAUUUCUUUAAAAUACAGAGCACAUCUUAUAGAGACUGGCAUCUGAAAAUUGCCUGAGUUAAGUUACAUAAAAUGCCUGAGGUGGUGUAAGGUAAAGGUUGAGUCCCCAAGUAAAAAUGACAGGAAAUAUCAGCAGUGGAAGGAUUGCAGGGGUGGAAAGGAUGCCUGCCCUACCAGAUGCUACCGUUGCCGGGGAAAUGUCACUGUUAGAGAAUAGAAAACUAUUAUUCCAAAGAGUAUUGAAGACUGACUGAAUCAGGUCUGGAACAUUAUUGAAAUGCGAGGAGAAGGGAGGAUGCUCUGCGCUCCUCCGGGAGCCCUGCAGCUGAGGUUUCUCUCCCCUGAGAUCCACGGUAAUGGAAGCAGCUGAAGCUGGAGGUCAUUAACAUUUUGAGAACACCGCAAACUGACACUGUGUAAUGUUAUGACAUUUCUUCCCAAGACAUUUAAUCUCCUUUAAUCAGUGUUUAUGUUGAAGAUACUUCAUAGUUAUUUGCUUUCACAUAAAAAUGGAACACUUUGGCAUGUCAUUAACAUAAGAGUAAUUUACUUAUUACUCAUUGCAAUUAUUUCUAGAGCUCUCUCUCUCUCCUGUCCUCUCCUCCAUUCCUCUCUCCUUCUCUCCCUCCCUCCUUCCCUUCUCCUUUUCUCCCUUUUCCGUGUCUUCAUUGUUUCUGGCUUUUGUUUUCAAUUGUACUAUUUUUGAAAGUGCUUCCAGUUUUUCCUUCUGCAGAUAAUCUUCCUGGCAAGUUGGUAGUCUUGGGGUUUUCGUGCCCUCUUCUUAGUAAACUUCAGAGCCUGGAAGAAAACUAACCUCACCUCUCUGAGAAAUGCUCAUGGUCCCCAUUGUCCUUGGUCAGGAACGGCUUAUUCUCUGCUGAAUGGUGCUCCAUGGAUGACUUAGCUGAACAUCAUUUUCUUCUGCCUUGCUUUCCUCCUCUCACUUGCUUCGGAUAUUGUUCUGAGCUUCUAGCAUCUGUCUUCUUGCCUCCAUUUCUCUUUCCUUCUUGUGUGGGGGUUACUUUAUCUUCCUUUAAAGCUACUUCAGCUUUUCUUCCACCCUCAAAACUUUUCACUAAAUGCAAAACUGAUGAUUGUUGACUUUUUUUAUAUCAGAGAGGGAAUAUAUUCCUUAGCAUAAACAAGUGGUUGCACAUUUCAAUCCAUGAAUUAGGCAUAAUUUUCCUUAUUUUUAAAUAAAUGAACAAUUUCUAUUAUAAAUCUCUUAUUAUGCCAAGUAGGCAAAACCUAAUUUCAGUUUAGGGAAGUGUUUCUCAACCUUGAGAUCACUGAUAUUUUGGGCUGGGCCAUUCUGUGUUUUGGGAGCUGUUCUGCGCACUGCAGGGCGUUCAGCAGCAUCCUUGACCUCUGCCUACCAGAUGCCAGUAGCACCACCAAAACUUGUCUCUAGACAUUGCCAAAUAUCUGCUGGGGGGCAAAAUAGCCCCACACUGAGAACGACUGUUCCUUUCUGUGGAGUUAUGUCUAAGUUCUAGGGCAAGAUUUAAGGAGGAUGGAGAAGUCCUUUCCUUGAAAUCAUUCUUCAUUCGCAUAGACUUAUCUGAGGUGUCCCUAUUCCCAUUGUGACUUUGGGCCCCUGGUGCAUCCACCAUGAUCUGACGAAGGGCUCUCACAGCGGCUGUCUCACUCUGCUGUCAGGCACAAGGGCUGUUCCUGCGUUAUUGCAGGAUGCUCUGUGAGGUGGCCUCAGGUCUGUCCCGGUGCCAUGCUAGGGAGCCAGGCUGAUGGACCAGGAAUGCAAGCAUCCUGCUGACUCCAGACUCUCCCCUGGGGCUAGGGGCCCUGUUCCGUCUGAUCUUGGAUUCUCAGUUCCCAUGGGGAGGACUUCCUACAGGACACAGAGUUCAGGGCCCACUGUCAUCUAAGGUCUGCUCAUGCUGUGGCAGCUCUCGUUCCCCGCAGUCCUGACCAUCUUUAUGUAGUUUGAGGACAGCUCACCUGGCUCUUUAUCUGGUUUUCCAAAUAUAAUAUUUUAUGGCCUAGAAGUUAUGUGCUUCAUAGUUAUACUUUUAACACCAAAAAGAUUUUCUCCGCUUCUCUGCUAUAUUAUCCCUUCCUGGAGGCAAUAAAUUCUGCUGAGGGAAUGGGUAGAAAAGAGGAUACAAGAAAAUAAGAGAAAAAAGUUUUGGUCAAAAUUUCAAUUUAUAUAAAGAAAAAGCAUCGCUUGCUUAUUCCAAUGCUACAGUUCUGUAGGAAUAGAAAUAUUUGGAAAUCUAGAUGAAGAGCCAUCUUAUCCUCAGCCUACAGAAGGAUGGUUAAGACUGUGGGGAGCCAGGAGAUUCACAGGGAAGCGAAGAGCUUAGAUGACGGCGGGCUCCUGAGCUGGGGGGCCUGUGCCAGGACUCCCACGGUGGAAUUGGCAGUCCAAGAUGACAUAGUGUAAUUUCACCUGCAUACUACGGUUUUGCUUUCUUUUAAUGAGCCAAGAGUUCCUUAGUAAUCCUCUGCGUUUCUGGUCAUCUGGUGGUCAUCGGUUUUUGCAAGACCUUUGGUCCUCUUUUCCAAUUUCUUAAUAUAUAUUUGGUUUAUAUUCAUCUACUUUAAAGCAUUAGUGCAAACCAUGCAUUAUUUUUUGUAGUUUUAAUUUACAUGCAUUGUCUUGUGUUUCUUAUUUUUUUCACUCAACACUCUGCAUUUAGCAUCUGGUGGGUCUAAAGAGAUAUCUCUUUUUUGUUUUAAUUUGCAUUCCUAUGAUUACUAAUGAUAUUGGGCAUGAAUCAUAUAUUUUGUUAAAACUUUGGGUUUCUUUGACUAUGAAGUGACUCAAAUAUCCUCUACUCAUUUUUAAAAUUUGGGAUUUCUAUGCUUAUGCAUGAGUUCCUGGUAUAGUCUAGAUAAUAAUUUCUUUGUGAUUUUAGACACGAUAAAUAUCAUGUCUCUGCAACAUCUUUGUGCUAACUUUGUUCACAGAAAUUCUUAAUUUGAUGCAAUUAAAUCCAUUAAUGAUGCUUUUGGAAUUUUGUUUCAGAAGUUCUUCCCUAACCCUGGGGGACAUUGUCUUCUGCCUUUAUGAUUUCCUUUGGUUUCUUUGUUUUUUUUAAAAAAAAAAAAGAUUUUUUAAUUU